RNAcentral lists this long non-coding RNA (367 nucleotides) under Brassica napus (rape). Its description in RNAcentral is "long non-coding RNA (BNAP_LNC010305)". The record is from RNAcentral. Lineage: Eukaryota; Viridiplantae; Streptophyta; Magnoliopsida; Brassicales; Brassicaceae.
CCUGAAGCUUCUUGAGAUGUGACCGGUGUACAUGAGUUUACCGGUGAAAAAAUGUGUGUGAUUGUUUUAUUAAAUCUCUUAAGAGUGAUUCACAUUGUGGAGCUUCAAUAUUUGUGACUUUUACCUAAUAAGAAUCACUUGUCUUUUGCCUAAGCAGAUAAACUCUGAUUUCUCACUAGUGAUUCACAUUGUGGAGCUUCAAUAUUUGUGACUUUUACCUAAUAAGAAUCACUUGUCUUUUGCCUAAGCAGAUAAACUCUGAUUUCUCACUAGUGAUUCACAUUGUGGAGCUUCAAUAUUUGUGACUUUUACCUAAUAAGAAUCACUUGUCUUUUGCCUAAGCAGAUAAACUCUGAUUUCUCACUAG